RNAcentral lists this ribosomal RNA (119 nucleotides) under Pelobates cultripes (western spadefoot toad). The record is from RNAcentral. Lineage: Eukaryota; Metazoa; Chordata; Amphibia; Anura; Pelobatidae.
GCCUACGGCCAUACCAGUCUGAAAGUGCCUGAUCUCGUCAGAUCUCAGAAGUCAUGCAGACUUUGGCCUGCUUAGUAGUUGUAUGGGAGACCAACUAGGAAACUCAGGUGCCGUAAGCU